GGUUAACGGAGCGAAAGCGAUGUUCAACCGCAAAAGAAGCAGAGGGGGCUUAGUGGUGGGGUGACUGCGUACCUUUUGUAUAAUGGGUCAGCGACUUAUAUUCUGUAGCAAGGUUAACCGAAUAGGGGAGCCGGAGGGAAACCGAGUCUUAAUUGGGCGUUAAGUUGCAGGGUAUAGACCCGAAACCCGGUGAUCUAGCCAUGGGCAGGUUGAAGGUUGGGUAACACUAACUGGAGGACCGAACCGACUAAUGUUGAAAAAUUAGCGGAUGACCUGUGGCUGGGGGUGAAAGGCCAAUCAAACCGGGAGAUAGCUGGUUCUCCCCGAAAGCUAUUUAGGUAGCGCCUCGUGAAUUCAUCUCCGGGGGUAGAGCACUGUUUCGGCUAGGGGGCCAUCCCGGCUUACCAACCCGAUGCAAACUGCGAAUACCGGAGAAUGUUAUCACGGGAGACACACGGCGGGUGCUAACGUCCGUCGUGAAGAGGGAAACAACCCAGACCGCCAGCUAAGGUCCCAAAGUCAUGGUUAAGUGGGAAACGAUGUGGGAAGGCCCAGACAGCCAGGAUGUUGGCUUAGAAGCAGCCAUCAUUUAAAGAAAGCGUAAUAGCUCACUGGUCGAGUCGGCCUGCGCGGAAGAUGUAACGGGGCUAAACCAU
This 656-nucleotide ribosomal RNA is filed under the name Salmonella enterica. RNAcentral describes it as "partial 23S ribosomal RNA". It matches the Rfam family "Bacterial large subunit ribosomal RNA", at positions 528 to 1190 of the family's 2925-position model. Lineage: Bacteria; Pseudomonadati; Pseudomonadota; Gammaproteobacteria; Enterobacterales; Enterobacteriaceae. The record is from RNAcentral.